CCUACGGGGGGCUGCAGUGGGGAAUAUUGCACAAUGGGGGAAACCCUGAUGCAGCGACGCCGCGUGAGUGAAGAAGUAUUUCGGUAUGUAAAGCUCUAUCAGCAGGGAAGAAAAUGACGGUACCUGAUUAAGAAGCACCGUCUAACUACGUGCCAGCAGCCGCGGUAAUACGUAGGGGGCAAGCGUUAUCCGGAUUUACUGGGUGUAAAGGGAGCGUAGACGGCAGCACAAGUCUGGAGUGAAAUGCCUGGGCUUAACCCCGGAACUGCUUUGGAAACUGUGCAGCUAGAGGGCAAGAGAGGAAAGUGGAAUUCCUAGUGUAGCGGUGAAAUGCGUAGAUAUUAGGAGGAACACCAGUGGCGAAGGCGGCUUACUGGACUGUAACUGACGUUGAGGCUCGAAAGCGUGGGGAGCAAACAGGAUUAGAUACCCUUGUAGUC
Molecule: ribosomal RNA, 440 nt
Filed under: uncultured bacterium
Lineage: Bacteria
Description: partial 16S ribosomal RNA
Rfam family: Bacterial small subunit ribosomal RNA
Source: RNAcentral